Molecule: unclassified non-coding RNA, 161 nt
Filed under: soil metagenome
Description: partial internal transcribed spacer 1
Source: RNAcentral
AAGAGACGUUGCCCUUCGGGGUAUACCUCCCACCCUUUGUUUAUUAUACCUUUGUUGCUUUGGCGGGCCCGUCCUCGGACCACCGGCUUCUGCUGGUCAGUGCCCGCCAGAGGACCUAAAACUCUGUUUGUUAAUAUUGUCUGAGCACUAUAUAAUAGUUA